GCACGCUCAUCGACCGCCAUGCCGCACUUGUUGGCCGUCCUGGCGGUGGCCGCGCUCGGCGCCGUCGCCCUGGCGCUGCCCGAGGACCCCACCAUCACGCACGCGCGGGGCAGCCUGACCGGCAAGCGCCUGCAGAGCGCCGGGCUGCGCGAGGGAGUGCAGAGCAGGGACUACGCCGCGUUCUGGGGCAUUCCGUUCGCCGAGCCUCCCGUCGGCAAGCUCAGGUUCAAGCCGCCGAAGCCCAGGGACUUGCCCGAGAGUCAGUUCGACGCAACCAACGAGCACAACCCGGCGUGCAUCCAGCAGCACAGGACAUCGCUGAGAGUGACCGGCGAAGAGGACUGCCUAAACCUGCAAGUCUUCACCCCGAGUUAUGAUGUCGCCAACCUGCCGGUCGUUGUUCUCAUCCAUGGCGGAGGGUUCAUGUUCAGCCAAGGUCCCCGCUCGGGCGUGCAGUACAUCAUGGACUACGACGUGGUCCUAGUCGUCAUCGCAUAUCGGCUCAACGUUCUUGGUUUCAUGAGCUUCGAGGACCCUGAGCUGCAGGGCAACCUCGGCAUGCUGGACCAGGUGGAGGCCCUCAAGUGGGUGCAGCGGAACGUUCACCACUUCGGCGGGGACAAAGACAGCGUGACUCUGGUCGGCAACUCCGCUGGAUGCGCUAGCUGUCUGCUGCACACCAUGUCGCCAAUGUCCAAAGGCUUGUUCCACCGAGUGAUCGGCACAAGCGGCACCCCCUUGAACCCUUGGGCGCAGCAGCACUCGGCGCGCGAGAACGCGGACCGCGUCGCCUCCCUGGUCGGCUGCAACGCCAGCACCACGGCGGACAAGGUCGCCUGCCUGCAAACCAAGCCCGCCGCCGAGAUCGUCGGCCUGCAGGCGGAGAACUUCCAGCCCUGGAUGCUGAACCCAUUCGCUCCGUUUUCCACUGUGGUAGACGGCCUCUUCUUGACCGGCGAGCCGGAGAAGGUUUUGGAAGACAAGAACGCUGUCAUGGAUGUGCCUCUCAUGCUGGGGUUCGUCCCGCUUGAAGGGCUGUUCCCUGGGGGAGAAUUCUUCUUCAACGACUCGCUGGUGAGGGAGCUGGACGAACACUGGGACACUACAGCGCCCGAGCUGUUGAACUUCCACGACAAGCGCGUCCUGGAAGCGGAAAAGCCGACUCUGUCUCGGAAAAUUCGUGAAUUCUACCUCAAGAACCUCUCGUUGGAAUCGGGCAAGGAACAGCUCAUGAAGCUGAUGACCGACAGGAACUUCCUGUCAGGCGUGUCGAGUCACAUCUCGAGGCGCGCGUCCGUGCAGUCGCAGCCAGUGUACGCGUUCGAGUUCGCCCACCGCGGCGAGUACAGCUACUACGGCGGCGGCCUGGGCGUGGGCCACGGAGACGACAUGCUGUACCCUCUGGAUCUGCUCGGACCCUUCCACCGGGAGGACGAUCAAGUCGUCCGCAGAAACCUCCUUGACCUUUGGUUCUCGUUCAUCAAGACCUCAAAACCCAGCGUUCCGGGUGUUGUAUGGGAGCCGGUGCAGCCGAACAACGCAGAGCCCAGCGUGAACUACCUCCGCAUUGCCGGCCCCAAUGACAUGACCAUGACGACUGCUAAGAACUUGGGCAAUGUUGCCUUCUGGAAGGACUGGAAGGACAUCCAGCCUAAAGGGACGAUCUCGCUCACACGAUACACCACGCGUGGCGUUUCGCGCAAACCGCCGCAACAAUUUGGCCUUCAAGUAAGGAUAUCUGCGCAACUUAAUGACCAAUUACACCUACUUACUCUUCCGCCAGCACAGUAUGCCAUUUAAGUGCUCUUUUAAAGGGAAUCUUCACGGUAAACCUAUCUUCUUGGCUUCCCUGGAAUAUCGGCCAAUUCCCAGAAAAAUCUCCUGAGAUUUCCAGUAACUUUGAAACCACUCUGAGCGUGCCCAGUCGUCCUUGGCCCUCCUGGUCUCAGUCGGCGUCCUGAUCCUCGGCAUGGCUUUGACGAGUUAGUCCAGCAGCUAAUCCAGGAUUCUUCCAAAGAGGGAGUAACGUGCACGCUUUAAGCCGUACGAAGUGUUUUGAGCAUAUAGAUUGAUACUAUCCAGUUUGUGCGAAAUGAUUAAAAAC
Molecule: RNA transcript, 2104 nt
Organism: Thrips palmi
Lineage: Eukaryota; Metazoa; Arthropoda; Insecta; Thysanoptera; Thripidae
Gene name: venom carboxylesterase-6-like
Exons: 12
Source: RefSeq, a predicted model, not a curated record